This is a long non-coding RNA of Oryctolagus cuniculus (rabbit), 2850 nucleotides long. Lineage: Eukaryota; Metazoa; Chordata; Mammalia; Lagomorpha; Leporidae. The record is from Ensembl.
GGGUCCAGGCCUACAAACAUGCUCCUGUGGGGGGGGGGUUCAUGCCUACAACAAGCCCCUCCCUGUGUGUGAGUGGGGGGGGGGGUUCAUGGCUACAACAUGCACCUCCCUGUGUGUGAGUGGGGGGGGUUCAUGGCUACAACAUGCACCUACCUGUGAGUGGGGGGGUCCAUGGCUACAACAUGCACCUGUGGGGGGGUUCAUGGCUACAACAUGCACCUGUGGGGGGGUUCAUGGCUACAACAUGUACCUGUGGGGGGGGUUCAUGGCUACAACAUGCACCCGUGUGGGGGGGGUCCAUGGCUACAACAUGAACCUGUGGAGGGGGGUAAGGCUACAACAUGCACCUCUGUGUGUAGGGGGUGAUCCAUGUCCAUCUGAUGAUGGACGCGUUUAUUCAGAGAACAUCUGGGGUGGGGGGCAAGGCCUCCCAGAGCCCGGCCUGGAAGACAUCUGCUUAAAACUCGGAGAAGGCUUGUAGACCCCACUCCAGGGGCUGGCUUCUUCCAGGGUGGAGACUGGCUGGGCCACAGGCCAUGUGCCCGGGAUGGUGACAGGGCCCCGAGGCCAGGCAGGGCCAAGCUGGGAGGGAGCAGUGCCUGUCUCGGGGACCCUGCGGCCACGCUCUGCAGAGAAAGGGGGACCUCCGGGGGUCAGCGUUCCCCAGCUGCUUCCGAGGCUUCUAGAAUGUUCUUGGGAACGGGCUGUCGCUGGCUUUACUGGAAGCGCCUCAGCAGCCGCCCGCCAGCCUCCGCCACGUUCUUUGAGUCGCCCUCUGCGAAAAGAGGAGGCUCUGUUGGGGCAGGCGACCGCUCCUGCUUAGAUGGACGCUCGCCGGCCAUGGUCACGUCCACUCCAGUGGCAGCCUGGCCUGCUGACCGCCCUGUGCCUGACCCCAGAGCAGGCUGUUCAGCCCCUCCUCCACACGUGGCCCUGGUCCUGCACAGCCCGCAUCACUGCCUAGUGGGGGUCUCCCGCCUGCCGUCCUUGUCCUCAGUCCGAGCCAUCCUGUCUGUGUGUCUAAGGGGUCUCGGUGUCACCCAUGGCGGGACGUCACCGCGGGGUGUCGUGAGACAGCCAUGUGACUUUAGGAGCGCUUGGCUUUCCUGCUGGGUGUGAGCCCCGUAACGGGGCGGGGCCUGUCGCGGCCUCUGGCAGAGGGUACGGAGUCACGCUCGCUCAGUGUGUGCUGUGAGUCCAUGGCGAGGACAGGUGAGGACAGAUUGGGGGGGAGGGAAGGAGGAAGGAUGGGUGAGUGGGGGGGGUGUGUGGAUGGACAGAUGGGUCAGUGAAUGGAUGGGUGCCUGGGUGGGUGGAUGGAGAGGUUUCUGGGUGCCUGGUGGGUGGUAGGUGGAUGGGCAGGAGGGUGGAUGGGUGCAUGGAUCGGUGAACGGAUGGGCGGUGGAAAGAUGGUGAACGGAUGGGCGGUGGAAAGAUGGUGCCGGCCACGUUUCCCAGUUCCCUGGAUGACAGCAGGAGAUUAAGCGUGUCCGGCCGCUGGUGUGAGGCUGUGUGUACCGAGAGCCCCUCUGUGGCUCGGACCUCCCCCGCCCAGCAGCAGACCGCAGGGCUCUGUGAACUGCUCGCUCCCAGCGUCCACGCCGCGUGGCGUGUCUCGGUGCUGGGCCAGAACGGUUCUUCCUCCCCCAAGAAACGCGCCCUCCCCUCGUCAGCGCCCUCUGCAGGGCGAGGGGGCCACCUCCUCACCUGGAUACUCCUUGUAGGAUUUGUGGCGCAGGAAUCGCCCAUCUGAAAAACACGCGAGAGGGGAAAACUCUCAGGAGGGGGCAACACCAUGCUCCUCCUCCUGUGUGCCUGCUUUGGGAAAACACGGUUAUUUUAGGAAAAAUGUUAUUUCUGUUUAAUAUCUGUUUGUAUGCCUUUUAAACUUAUUCGUGAGAUACAGACACAGAGUGAGAGAGCCAACGCGUUUCCCUUCACAACAGCCAGGGCUGUGCCGGGGCCAGGAGCUGGAAACAGCCCAGGCCUCCCACACGGGCAGCAGGCACCCAGGUACUUGAGCGCUCACUGCUGUCUCCCAGGGGCUGCAUCGCAGAAAAGCGGACUCGGGAGCCAGAAGUGGGACUCGAACCCAGGCCCUGGCAUGUGGACACGGCGUCUUCACCAGGAGGCUGAACGCCUGCCCCCGGCUGCUAAUUUUAAGUGACAAGUGCACAUGCAUCUUACUGCCUCAGCUUUACCUCCAGCAGCGUAACCACCCAUGGCCAUGACCACGAGAAGGGAGAGCCCCCCGGAGAGACUCUGGGAUGUUUUCCAAGGGAGCCCUCCUCCCCUGGCUGAGUAUCAUUUAUUACCCCAGGUGAUCUCGUGGGGGUUUUAGCAAACGAACUUCCUGGGCUCUGAGCUUCGUGAAUUCCACUUGAUUCUUCCUGCCCAGCAUCCCGCCACGGCCCGGAAGGGCACAGACUCCCUCCCUUCCACAUCGGAGAGACCCCAACCCCAACAGAGAAAGGCACUGAUGCCCUUGAACCCACUCUCCAAAGAACCAGCUUUGCCACACGAGUCGGCGUCUGUUCCCCGCUCAGAGAAGAGCCAGAUCCUCGCGCAUCCUGUGCCAGCUGCCGGACAGCGACCCCCAGCAACCAUCGGCACCCCAGAGGCCUCUCCCGGGGAGCCCUGCACCUUAGGUGUGGGCACAGGGGCUGCACCUGGUUCUCACAGUCCCAGAGAUGCACCUGCGGGCUCCGGUGGCGUGGGGACAGGACGAGGGGAGACAGGGAGCAAAGCACGCACAGCAAGUUCGUGCAACUUUUCUUAAAUCUGAAAUUAUUUCAAAUAUGUAGAGAAAAAGCUAAUAAAAUGUAGGGGCUGGCAUUUAGCCUACUGGUU